RNAcentral lists this transfer RNA (62 nucleotides) under Phatnoma laciniatum. RNAcentral's name for it is "tRNA-Pro". The record is from RNAcentral. Lineage: Eukaryota; Metazoa; Arthropoda; Insecta; Hemiptera; Tingidae.
CAUCGGGUAGUUUAAGUAAAAUAUUAAUUUUGGGGAUUAAUGAUAAGUUUCCUUUCUGUUGA